This is a long non-coding RNA of Hibiscus syriacus, 281 nucleotides long. RefSeq lists it as uncharacterized. The record is from RefSeq and is a predicted model, not a curated record. NCBI's taxonomy places the organism in Eukaryota, Viridiplantae, Streptophyta, Magnoliopsida, Malvales, Malvaceae. The transcript has 3 exons.
AAACGAGCUUGGUACUGCAAUCUUUCAAAGGCCAAUUCCUUGAUUUUCAGGAGUCGACAAUUGGGGCAGCUUUCUUCACUCAGGUUUUGUCACUCAAUGAAGCCACCAUAAAGUUCGAUAUAUGGAACACGGCAGGCCAAGAGAGAUACCAUAGCUUGGCUCCUAUGUAGUAUCGCGGUGCAGCCGCGGCCGUCGUGGUCUACAAUGUCACUAGCUCGGUAACUUGCUUGAUUGAUACUCGACACAUUCGAGCGAGCCAAAAAAUGGGUUCGGGAAGUCCA